UACGAAGGGGGCUAGCGUUGCUCGGAAUCACUGGGCGUAAAGCGCACGUAGGCGGCUUUCUAAGUCGGUGGUGAAAUCCUGGAGCUCAACUCCAGAACUGCCUUUGAUACUGAGGAUCUUGAGUUCGGGAGAGGUGAGUGGAACUGCGAGUGUAGAGGUGAAAUUCGUAGAUAUUCGCAAGAACACCAGUGGCGAAGGCGGCUCACUGGCCCGAUACUGACGCUGAGGCACGAAAGCGUGGGGAGCAAACAGG
This 253-nucleotide ribosomal RNA is filed under the name uncultured bacterium. RNAcentral's name for it is "partial 16S ribosomal RNA". It matches the Rfam family "Bacterial small subunit ribosomal RNA", at positions 524 to 776 of the family's 1533-position model. The record is from RNAcentral.